RNAcentral lists this ribosomal RNA (279 nucleotides) under uncultured bacterium. RNAcentral's name for it is "partial 16S ribosomal RNA". It matches the Rfam family "Bacterial small subunit ribosomal RNA", at positions 506 to 784 of the family's 1533-position model. The record is from RNAcentral.
UGCCAGCCGCCGCGGUAAUACGGAGGGUGCAAGCGUUAAUCGGAAUUACUGGGCGUAAAGCGCACGUAGGUGGUUUGCUAAGUCAGCUGUGAAAUCCCCGGGCUCAACCUGGGCACUGCAGUUGAAACUGGCAAGCUAGAGUAGGGUAGAGGGGUGUGGAAUUCCAGGUGUAGCGGUGAAAUGCGUAGAUAUCUGGAGGAACAUCAGUGGCGAAGGCGACACCCUGGACUCAUACUGACACUGAGGUGCGAAAGCGUGGGGAGCAAACAGGAUUAGAUA